This 133-nucleotide small nucleolar RNA is filed under the name Oryzias latipes (Japanese medaka). Lineage: Eukaryota; Metazoa; Chordata; Actinopteri; Beloniformes; Adrianichthyidae. The record is from RNAcentral.
UUUUCCUGUUUUUAGCUCCUUCUUGACUAAACACACCUGAUCCAGGUAAUCAGCAGGAGAAUAGGCAGGAUUUCUGGAAAACCAGGAGGAGGCUGGCCCUCGAGGCCUGGAGUUUGACACCCCUGCUUUAUAG